Molecule: ribosomal RNA, 507 nt
Filed under: uncultured bacterium
Lineage: Bacteria
Description: partial 16S ribosomal RNA
Rfam family: Bacterial small subunit ribosomal RNA
Source: RNAcentral
GACGAACGCUGGCGGCGUGCCUAAUACAUGCAAGUCGAACGCAUUUUCUUUCACCGUAGCUUGCUACACCGACAGAAAAUGAGUGGCGAACGGGUGAGUAACACGCGGGUAACCUGCCCAUCAGCGGGGGAUAACACUUGGAAACAGGUGCUAAUACCGCAUAAUUCCAUUUACCGCAUGGUAAAUGGAUGAAAGGCGCUUUUGCGUCACUGAUGGAUGGACCCGCGGUGCAUUAGCUAGUUGGUGGGGUAACGGCCUACCAAGGCUGCGAUGCAUAGCCGACCUGAGAGGGUGAUCGGCCACACUGGGACUGAGACACGGCCCAGACUCCUACGGGAGGCAGCAGUAGGGAAUCUUCGGCAAUGGACGCAAGUCUGACCGAGCAACGCCGCGUGAGUGAAGAAGGUUUUCGGAUCGUAAAACUCUGUUGUUAGAGAAGAACAAGGAUGAGAGUGGAAAGUUCAUCCCUUGACGGUAUCUAACCAGAAAGCCACGGCUAACUACGUG